Molecule: ribosomal RNA, 423 nt
Filed under: uncultured bacterium
Lineage: Bacteria
Description: bacterial SSU rRNA
Rfam family: Bacterial small subunit ribosomal RNA
Source: RNAcentral
UGAGGAAUAUUGGUCAAUGGGCGCAAGCCUGAACCAGCCAUCCCGCGUGAAGGAAGAAUGCGCUACGCGUUGUAAACUUCUUUUCCAGGGGGAGAAUUUUCCUGUCGAGACAGGGAUUGACGGUACCCUGGGAAUAAGCAUCGGCUAACUCCGUGCCAGCAGCCGCGGUAAUACGGGGGAUGCGAGCGUUAUCCGGAUUUAUUGGGUUUAAAGGGUGCGUAGGCGGAUUGAUAAGUCAGUGGUGAAUUUCUGCAGCUUAACUGUAGACUUGCCGUUGAUACUGUUAGUCUUGAGUGUGGUCAAGGCAGGCGGAAUGUGUAAUGUAGCGGUGAAAUGCUUAGAUAUCACACAGAACACCGAUUGCGAAGGCAGCUUGCUGGGUCAUUACUGACGCUGAUGCACGAAAGCGUGGGGAUCAAACAG